AGAGUUUGAUCAUGGCUCAGAACGUACGCUGGCGGCACGCCUAACACAUGCAAGUCGAACGAAGUAGCAAUACUUAGUGGCAGACGGGUGAGUAACAUGUAGGUAUCUGCCCUUUGGCCUGGAAUAACACGAGGAAACUUGUGCUAAUACCGGAUAAGUCUUUACGGAGAAAGCUUUAUGCACCAUUGGAUGAGCCUGCACUUGAUUAGUUUGUUGGUGGGGUAAUGGCCUACCAAGACUGUGAUCAAUAGCUGAUUUGAGAGGAUGAUCAGCCACAUUGGGACUGAGACACGGCCCAAACUCCUACGGGAGGCAGCAGUGGGGAAUCUUGCACAAUGGAGGAAACUCUGAUGCAGCGAUGCCGCGUGAGUGAAGAAGGCCCUUGGGUUGUAAAGCUCUUUCGUCGGGGAAGAAAAUGACUGUACCCGAAUAAGAAGGUCCGGCUAACUUCGUGCCAGCAGCCGCGGUAAUACGAAGGGACCUAGCGUAGUUCGGAAUUACUGGGCUUAAAGAGUUCGUAGGUGGUUGAAAUAGUUGGUGGUGAAAUCCCAGAGCUUAACUCUGGAACUGCCAUCAAAACUUUUCAGCUAGAGUAUGAUAGAGGAAAGCAGAAUUUCUAGUGUAGAGGUGAAAUUCGUAGAUAUUAGAAAGAAUACCAAUUGCGAAGGCAGCUUUCUGGAUCAUUACUGACACUGAGGAACGAAAGCAUGGGUAGCGAAGAGGAUUAGAUACCCUCGUAGUCCAUGCCGUAAACGAUGUGUGUUAGACGUUGGAAAUUUAUUUUCAGUGU
RNAcentral lists this ribosomal RNA (790 nucleotides) under marine metagenome. RNAcentral describes it as "bacterial SSU rRNA". It matches the Rfam family "Bacterial small subunit ribosomal RNA", at positions 8 to 846 of the family's 1533-position model. The record is from RNAcentral.